GACGAACGCUGGCGGCGUGCCUAAUACAUGCAAGUAGAACGCUGAAGGAGGAGCUUGCUUCUCUGGAUGAGUUGCGAACGGGUGAGUAACGCGUAGGUAACCUGCCUGGUAGCGGGGGAUAACUAUUGGAAACGAUAGCUAAUACCGCAUAAUAGCAGUUGUUGCAUGACAACUGUUUGAAAGGUGCAAUUGCACCACUACCAGAUGGACCUGCGUUGUAUUAGCUAGUUGGUGGGGUAACGGCUCACCAAGGCGACGAUACAUAGCCGACCUGAGAGGGUGAUCGGCCACACUGGGACUGAGACACGGCUCAGACUCCUACGGGAGGCAGCAGUAGGGAAUCUUCGGCAAUGGACGGAAGUCUGACCGAGCAACGCCGCGUGAGUGAAGAAGGUUUUCGGAUCGUAAAGCUCUGUUGUAAGAGAAGAACGAGUGUGAGAGUGGAAAGUUCACACUGUGACGGUAUCUUACCAGAAAGGGACGGCUAACUACGUG
Molecule: ribosomal RNA, 495 nt
Filed under: uncultured bacterium
Lineage: Bacteria
Description: partial 16S ribosomal RNA
Rfam family: Bacterial small subunit ribosomal RNA
Source: RNAcentral